AGCAGCAGAUGCAACUUCCCGAAAUGGCCCUGAGUUCAACCAGCCCUUUGGGGCGGCGGGGCCGGGGGAGGAGGAAGGUGCGAUUGGUGCGAGCAGGCGGCCCCUGCCGAGCUUAAAGCCUCCAAGUGCAAGUGGGGUGAGCAGAUGAGGAAGUGUCCCUGCACAUGGUGAGCCGAGCCCUGACCAUGCAUACCCACCUGCUCCUCCUGCUCGCCCUGCUCGUCCUCUGCAUGCCCCUUGGCCAGGCUGUGGAGGUCCAGACCAGCUCCUUCACCACUUCAAGCACCCCCUUAAGCAGCCUGAGCCCCCCUUGCAGCAGCCCCCCGCUCCUUUCCCUCGCCCUGGGGCUGGCUGUGGCUUUCUACCUGCGGCUGCGCUGACCUGGAGGGAACCAGCCCUCCUCAAGAAGAUCCCCCCAGGCAUGGCAUCCCCUGCACUGCCCACCUCCUUGGACCCUCGCAGCAAUGGAGGAUACACCAGCCCCAGCCCAUCCUCGCCUCCCUCUGCUCCACUCCCUUCACCCUCCCGCCUCAAAAGAAAGCCGUGGCGCUGCCCCGGCUCCAAAGCAAAGCGCUGGGGCCGGCUCCUGACUCUGAGAAAAUAAAGCGCUGGUGUAGAAGCCUC
This is a long non-coding RNA of Colius striatus (speckled mousebird), 624 nucleotides long. RefSeq lists it as uncharacterized. NCBI's taxonomy places the organism in Eukaryota, Metazoa, Chordata, Aves, Coliiformes, Coliidae. The transcript is spliced from 2 exons. The record is from RefSeq and is a predicted model, not a curated record.